UACAUAUAUAUAUAUAUAUAGAGGGCUACUCUAAUGAGAACUUUAAGUGGUGAGAACUAGAUACCAGGCUUAAAACAAAAAUAGAUACUGGGCUUAAAAUUAGGACAAGGCCCAAUAACAUAAACAUCCUGGACAUCGACGGUUUUUAAAAAUUAAAAUCAGUAUCAAACGUAACCAUACACCGUUACCCACUCAAACUCUCACUAGCAAAUCACCCCCAAAUCACAAAAAUCUCUCAACUACGCUGCUCAAUCGCCGUGUUUUGCUGUUGAACGCUCCUCAACGCUGCUCAAUUUGUUCUUGUAAGUGUUCGACUGUUCGUACGCAUUGUUCCUUUCACUACUCUAACGAAUCACUUUAAAUUUGAGUAGUUAUGUAAAUAGAUUCAUCAUUACGAAUCACUGAUGUUAGACACUUUGUUUUUCUGCAGAUUUCGUGCUUGGACGAAACUCGAGCACUAAAAAACCGGUAUGUGAGUUGUAUAUAUCGUAUGCAUGUGUUUUUAGUUAGUUUUUGUGAAGUGCAUAUCACUAAAUCACUUGCAAAUCAAUAAGUUUGUAUUAAUUUUUGAUUUUAACUGUGAUGAAAGUAACUUGUAUACGUGUUUAAUUAAAAAAUUUGCUUAGGGUUUUGUUCAUGAUUUAAUCAGUUUAAGAUGUGCAGAGCAGUAAUUAUGUAUUUGUAGUUUAGUGCUCAGAGGAUUUGUGAUAGGCAACAGUAUGUUUAUUGGCUUCCUGUGUUUGCAUUUGAUUUGAGGUGUUUUUUUGUCAAAUUGAAAAAGUGGAAAUGUGGUUGAGGGGGAGUGCGAUCUGAAAUGGUAGGAUAUAUAUGUUUCCAGCCCCUGAGAGAUAUAUCGACAUUCAAAAAGAAGAAAAGUGAUUUUCACAAGUUAAGUUGUUUAAGUUGAAGUAUCAAAAAGCUCAGGUGAGCGUUUUUGUUUCAUAACCUUACUUACUCAAAACUUUAAGUAUCAGAGCACUUAUGUAUAGAGCGUGUGUGUAAUAUUGUUUAUGUUUCUUAGGACUAGUUCAUCUGUUGCAUUUAUAGUUUUUCCACUUGCACAGGUGCAUUUUAGUAUCCUGAGAACUUAUGUAUCAGAGCCUGUGUAUAAUGCCUCUGGAUUAAUUGAGUGCUUCUUACCAUGGUUGAUAGGUUUCACCAAGUGAAGGGGAAGCAAGGUCUUUCCUGUGUAAUAUGCAUAUGAAAGGUAAGAAACCUAUUCACUGAUUUGUGCCUAUAUUGUACUUUUGGCAUUUUGUGGACAGAUCAAACACAAAUCAGAUAUACAUUAUAUAAUUCUGUUGCUAGAUAUAGGUUUUAAGUGAACACCAUGUAUGUAGUUGUAUAAAUACAUAAGUUACCUCUAAGAAAUCAGUUGUUCUCUUGAUUGCAAGCUCUUUGAACUGUUUUAUCCACCAAUAUAUUUAGAAAUAUGCACAAAGCACUUAUUAGCAUACACAAAGCACUUAAUUAUACAUAAAAAAACACUUAGAGGUAUAAAAAAUACACUGAUUUAUAAAAUAUGCACAAAGCACUUAAAAUUACACACAGAGCACUUAAUAUUUAAUAAAUAAAUAUUAAAUACUCAAGGUAUCUAAUCUGUUGUUAUGUGCUACAUGUGCGUGAUUUUAAGUGAUAUAUUUUCUUGUAUCAGGAUCCAGUAGAAGGCAAAGCAAAAGAUUAAAAAAAAAACAUAUCUCGAGCACUAAAAAAUUGGUAUAUGAGUCGUAUAUAUUGUAUGCAUGUGUUUUUAGUUAGUUUUUGUAAAGUGAUUAUCACUAAAUCACUUGCAAAUCAAUAAGUUUGUGUUAAUUUUUGGUUUUAACUGUAUUGGAAGCAACUUGUAUACGUGUUUAAUUAAAAAAUUUGCUUAGGAUUUUGUUCAUGAUUUAAUCAGCUUAAGAUGUGCUAAGCACUAAUUAUGUAUUUUAAGUUUAGUGCUCAGAGGUUUUGUGAUAGGCAGCAGUAUGUUUAUUUGCUUCCGGUGUUUGUAUUUGAUUUGAGGUUUAUAUUUUAUCAAAUUGCAAAAGUAGACAUGUGGUUGAGGGUGAUUUGAGGUGUAUAUUUUAUCAAUCUGAGCACAAAAGUUCUUUAGAUUCUGAGGCAAUCACCUCUUUAUAAUGUUGCCAAACUGCUAUACUGUAAAUUCCAAUCUGGAUGAAAUAUUGCUUUGGCAUAGGUCAAUUGGAAAAGAAGUAAGUGAUAUAGCUGAAACAGCUAGAAUGAUACCGUUAUACGAAGAUUUUUCUGAUAUAUCCAUAUUUAAAAGAGAAGAAAAGUGAUUUUCACAAGUUAAGAUGUUUAAUUAGAAGUAUUAAAAAGCUCAGGUGAGCGUUUUUGAUUCAUAAUCUUACUUACCCAAAACAUUAAGUAUCAGAGCACUUAUGUAUAGAGCAUGUGUGUAAUAUUGUUUAUGUUUCUUAGGACUAGUUCAUCUGUUGCAUUUAUAGUUCUUCCACUUGCACGGCUGCAUUUUAGUAUCAUGAGAACUUAUGUAUCGGAGCUUGUGUAUAAUGCCUCUAGACUGAUUGAGUGCCUCUUACCAUGGUUGAUAGGUUUCACUAAGUGAAAGGGAAGCAAGGUCUUUCCUGUAUAAAUUUGCAUAUGGCAGGUAAGAAACCAAUUCACUGUUUUGUGCCUAUAUUGUACUUUUGGCAUUUUGUGGUGAUAUCAAACACAAAUCAUAUAUACAUUAUAGAAUUAUGUUGCUGGAUAUAGGUUUUAAGUGAACACCAUGUAUGUAGUUGUAUAAAUACAUAAGUUACCUCUAAGAAAUCAGUUGUUCUCUUGAUUGCAAGCUCUUGAACUAUUUUAUCCAUCAAUAUAAUUAAAAAUAUGCACAAAGCACUUAUUGGCAUACACAAAGCACUUAAGUAUACAUAAAAAAACACUUAGAGGUAAAAAAAUAUACAUUGAUUUAUAAAAUAUGCACAAAGCACUUAAAAUUACACACAGAGCACUUAAUAAAUAAAUAUUAAAUACUUGGAAUACCUGCAACUAUUUUAACCUUUUCUGUAUUUUUUGUUGAUUCAGAUGGGAUAGAGAGCACAACUUCAAUGAUUAAGGGUGAAAUACUCAAAUGCAAUCCUUACACCUCACUUGAAUGAAUACAAAGAGAUUGAACCAAAGCGGGCAAAAGGCUUCUACAAAAAGAUUGCAAACAAGACACUCAUGUCCAUUGUACUUGCAUCAAGUUCAAAGAAACCCAAGAACACAGAGAUUCAUGGAAAUGUUAUAUUUUCAGACAUUGAAACAGAACAUGAAGAAGCAUGAUGAAGUACCGGCUGCUAGAAAGUUUAAUGUAUAGAAUUCUAUUUGUCAUAAAAACAUAUAUCACUUGUAUUCGACAUUUGAAUUUCAGUCAUUACUAGUGUUUUAAGGAACUUAUUGUAUUAUGCAUGUAGAAUUUCAGUCAUUACUAGUGUUUUUUACUCCUC
This 3437-nucleotide long non-coding RNA is filed under the name Daucus carota (carrot). RNAcentral describes it as "long non-coding RNA (DCAR_LNC004169)". The record is from RNAcentral. Lineage: Eukaryota; Viridiplantae; Streptophyta; Magnoliopsida; Apiales; Apiaceae.